Molecule: ribosomal RNA, 479 nt
Filed under: uncultured bacterium
Lineage: Bacteria
Description: SSU rRNA
Rfam family: Bacterial small subunit ribosomal RNA
Source: RNAcentral
AGAAUGAACGUUGGCGGCGUGGAUUAGGCAUGCAAGUCGAACGGGCCUGGUAGCAAUAUCAGGUCAGUGGCGUAAGGGUGAGUAAGGCGACGGCAACCAACCCCAUGGUUGGGCAUAGCCGCGGGAAACUGCGGGUAAUUCCCAGCGAUGUUCAUACCGGGCAUCCGGUGUGAACCAAAGUUCUGGCGCCGUGGGACGGGCCGUCGUGGUAUUAGGUAGUUGGCGGGGUAAUGGCCCACCAAGCCUCUGAUGCCUACCGGGCGUGCGAGCGUGGCCCGGCACACUGGGACUGAGACACUGCCCAGACUCCUACGGGAGGCUGCAGUCGAGAAUCUUCGGCAAUGGGCGCAAGCCUGACCGAGCGACGCCGCGUGGAGGAUGAAGGCCUUCGGGUUGUAAACUCCUGUCGGAGGGGGAGGAAGGGGUAACCUUGACCUAUCCCUGGAGGAGCGACGGGCUAAGUUCGCGCCAGCAGCCGC